Canis lupus familiaris (dog) is the source of this 232-nucleotide long non-coding RNA. RefSeq lists it as uncharacterized. The record is from RefSeq and is a predicted model, not a curated record. The transcript is spliced from 2 exons. Lineage: Eukaryota; Metazoa; Chordata; Mammalia; Carnivora; Canidae.
AGAUUCCAUGAGCUACACAACAUCUUGGGAAUAUAUUCCUUCUCUGCCAUAACUAGCCAAGUGUUUUCUGCUGCUUGUGAACCAGGACUCUGAAGUACUCCAAGGUCUUGGGAGGUGUUGGAGCCAAAAUAUAGAAGAAUCCUGGGAGCAUGAGUCGCCCCAUGGAGGAGCUCCAAGUGUCAAUCUGGGACACCCAUACCUGACUGAGCAAUAAACAUUCCAUUGCCAUGAA